Molecule: non-coding RNA, 152 nt
Organism: Sturnus vulgaris (Common starling)
Lineage: Eukaryota; Metazoa; Chordata; Aves; Passeriformes; Sturnidae
Source: RefSeq, a predicted model, not a curated record
GUCAACCAAGAGAAUGUCAACGUGGGAAAGUGUCAGAUUCUGCACCUGGGGUGGGACAACCUUGGGUGUACAGACAGUGGGGAAUGAGGGGUUGAAGAGCAGUGCUAUGGAAAGGGACCUGGGGGUCCUGGUCCAUGGCAAGUUGAACACGA